This 344-nucleotide unclassified non-coding RNA is filed under the name soil metagenome. RNAcentral's name for it is "partial contains 5.8S ribosomal RNA, internal transcribed spacer 2, and large subunit ribosomal RNA". The stretch from base 1 to 120 matches the Rfam family "5.8S ribosomal RNA", at positions 35 to 154 of the family's 154-position model. The record is from RNAcentral.
GAUGAAGAACGUAGCGAAAUGCGAAAAGUAGUGUGAAUUGCAGAAUUCAGUGAAUCAUCGAAUCUUUGAACGCACAUUGCGCCUCGCGGUAUUCUGCGAGGCAUGCCUGUUCGAGCGUCAUUAUCCUCCCUCAAACCCCGGGUUUGGUGUUGGACCCAAGUUGUGUGAACAACUGGUCUCAAAGACAAUGACGGCGUCCGUGGGACCCUCGGUGCAACGAGCUUUUAGGAGCACGCAUCGAGUUGCAAGGACCUUCCGGGCCGGUCUCCUUUACCAUUUUACAAGGUUGACCUCGGAUCAGGUAGGAAUACCCGCUGAACUUAAGCAUAUCAAUAAGCGGAGGA